ACACCUGCUUUUCUGGAAAACCUGGAAGCCAUUGGCAGGGCUGUCUGGACCCCUCCUCCAGUCCUCCCAAGGCCUUGCCUGGACACAAGUGACAUCUACAUAGACAGCCACACUGGUGGAACACAAGGGGGAGGGGUGGGGAUUCGGUGUGGCCUCAGUUGUUCUCAAAUUACAUGAUAAAGUAGAUGUAGUGGAUCCUUUACACCAAAAGGAGUUGUGGAGUCCAGUUAUAAGAAUCCAUAACAUGUUAGCAGGACUCAUUGUAGCCUCCUCCUCAGAAGAGCCGAGGAACUCAGCCACACCCUUAAAGGCAAGGUGAUUGCACUACAGUUAGUUGACCUAUCUGGAAAAUUAAAGCUUCCCUGUGGUUUGAGGUUCUGCUCCUUUCUUUCUUUUUUUUUUUUUUUUUUUCUUUUUGGAAUUCUUACAAGUUUUUGUUUUUGUUUUGUUUUUUACCACCCUUGAGAUCCAGGUGAGGCUUUUGCUUGGAGUAGUUUGUGCAUCCUAUGGAGACAGGUUAUCAGGGUUGUGCUAACACUGUGCACUUCGGUCUGGGGUGGGGGGUUAGGUAGGUGUUGGGGUGCAGUGGGGGGAAAUUCUGCUUGAAGUCUGCAUGGGCCAAUGCCGAAUUCAGACUUGGCUGCCAAACCCAUCACGAGUCCGUGCUGUGCAAAGGGAGCAGACCCGAGGCAAGGAAUCCGAGCACUCAGAUGUGUUCGCACGCACUCCUCCCUUGCAAAGUUGUGCGGUUCGCCGGGAGGAGCUCCUUCCCUUUGGCUCUUCUGGCCCAGACGUCUGUGGAGUCCAUGUGCAGCCAAGGGCAUCACUGGCCAGAAGUGAAAUUCUGGAAGCACGUCCCAGGUAGGCAAGGCCUACGUCGGAUGCCUUUGAAAUUUUUUCUGCCCAGACACAUAUCCCUUCUUUUCUUUCUUUCUUUUUUUUUUCUUUUUUUUUUUUUUUUUUUUUUUUUGUGAGCUGUCAUAAAUGACAAUACAUCCUGUGGUUCAUGGUGCAUUUCAAAAGGGCCAACAUUUAUUUCAAAGUACAGAAAUCCUGUGAGGCUUUUUCCCCCUUUAAGUGACGAGCAUAUAGGCUUAUGUAUGUUUUUUUUUAUUUUAUUUAUUUAUUCAUGAGAGAGAGAGAGAGAGAGAGAGAGAGAGGCAGAGACACAGGCAGGCUCCACGCAGGGAGCCCGAUGCGGGACUCGAUCCAGGGUCUCCAGGAUCACGCCCUGGGCUGAAGGCGGCGCUAAACCGCCGAGCCUGGGGGGCUGCCCAGGCUUACGUAUCUGCGAUGCUGGUAUAAACCCAGAGACCCAACAAUGUGAGAGUUUUAUACAUGUUUUAAAUU
Molecule: long non-coding RNA, 1350 nt
Filed under: Vulpes vulpes (red fox)
Lineage: Eukaryota; Metazoa; Chordata; Mammalia; Carnivora; Canidae
Description: lncRNA (ENSVVUG00000014015.1)
Source: RNAcentral